This 205-nucleotide non-coding RNA is filed under the name Thermobrachium celere. RNAcentral describes it as "T-box sequence". It matches the Rfam family "T-box leader". Rfam says of the family: Uncharged tRNA acts as the effector for transcription antitermination of genes in the T-box leader family. T-boxes are found upstream of many aminoacyl-tRNA synthetase genes and some amino acid biosynthetic genes usually in Gram-positive bacteria. The record is from RNAcentral. Lineage: Bacteria; Bacillati; Bacillota; Clostridia; Eubacteriales; Clostridiaceae.
UUAAAGGCUAUGAAGGGAAGGAGUACAUAUCCAUUCUGUUUCAGAGAGAAGGUGGCUGGUGCGAACCUUUACAGAUAGAUAUGGAAGCAGUCCCAAAGCUGUGUGCUGAAAGUAAAGUAGGCAUUACCGUUGGCUUGCGUUAAGGCCUAGAGUGACCAAGUUGGUAAUUAGGGUGGUACCGCGGAAGUGAUCUUUCGUCCCUAGA